Molecule: ribosomal RNA, 253 nt
Filed under: uncultured bacterium
Lineage: Bacteria
Description: partial 16S ribosomal RNA
Rfam family: Bacterial small subunit ribosomal RNA
Source: RNAcentral
UACAGAGGGGGCAAGCGUUGUUCGGAAUUACUGGGCGUAAAGGGCGCGUAGGCGGCCUUCUAAGUCGAACGUGAAAUCCCCGGGCUCAACCUGGGAACUGCAUUUGUGACUGUAGAGCUGGAGUGCGGCAGAGGGGGAUGGAAUUCCGCGUGUAGCAGUGAAAUGCGUAGAUAUGCGGAGGAACACCGAUGGCGAAGGCAAUCCCCUGGGCCUGCACUGACGCUCAUGCACGAAAGCGUGGGGAGCAAACAGG